This is a non-coding RNA of Chrysemys picta bellii (western painted turtle), 602 nucleotides long. Lineage: Eukaryota; Metazoa; Chordata; Testudines; Emydidae. The record is from RefSeq and is a predicted model, not a curated record.
GGCUGCAGAACGAUGCCCAUGCUUCACUCCAGCCCUUGGCACAGGGCAGAGAAAUGGCUGCAGCGGAGCCAGUUCAGGGGCCGGUGAGCCUCGAGGAGGUGGCUGUGUAUUUCACCGCGGGGCAGGGGGCUCUGCUGGACCCCGCUCAGAGAGCCCUCUACAGAGACGUCAUGCAGGAGAACUAUGAGAACGUGACCUCGCUGGGGUGUCCAGUUUCCAGACCUGAUGUGAUCUCCCAGCUGGAAUGAGGGGAGGAGCCGUGGGUCCCGGAUCUCCAGGGCUCUGAGGAAGGAGAGAUCCCCAGAGGUCCCUGCGCAGGUGCUGGGAUGGUGAGUGAGGAGAAGAAGCGGAAUCCUCAGCAGGAAGAUUCUGAGCAAGUGGCACCACAUGGGGGAUUAUCGCACGGCUCCAGAGGGAAUGUGUCCCGGCAUCGUGUGCAGGGCAAAGCCUGUGAGAGUCAGCACAGGCCAGAGAGGGAGCAGAGAAACAAGCCAGCAGAGAAAGUGGGUAACUCCAUUAAUAGUCAGGGAACUCACCAGGACCUCCUGGAAACCACAGCCCAGCCGAGAAUACCCACAGGAGAGAGAAAAAAACACAUGCAC